RNAcentral lists this ribosomal RNA (874 nucleotides) under Staphylococcus epidermidis. Its description in RNAcentral is "bacterial SSU rRNA". It matches the Rfam family "Bacterial small subunit ribosomal RNA", at positions 28 to 883 of the family's 1533-position model. The record is from RNAcentral. Lineage: Bacteria; Bacillati; Bacillota; Bacilli; Caryophanales; Staphylococcaceae.
GAUGAACGCUGGCGGCGUGCCUAAUACAUGCAAGUCGAGCGAACAGACGAGGAGCUUGCUCCUCUGACGUUAGCGGCGGACGGGUGAGUAACACGUGGAUAACCUACCUAUAAGACUGGGAUAACUUCGGGAAACCGGAGCUAAUACCGGAUAAUAUAUUGAACCGCAUGGUUCAAUAGUGAAAGACGGUUUUGCUGUCACUUAUAGAUGGAUCCGCGCCGCAUUAGCUAGUUGGUAAGGUAACGGCUUACCAAGGCAACGAUGCGUAGCCGACCUGAGAGGGUGAUCGGCCACACUGGAACUGAGACACGGUCCAGACUCCUACGGGAGGCAGCAGUAGGGAAUCUUCCGCAAUGGGCGAAAGCCUGACGGAGCAACGCCGCGUGAGUGAUGAAGGUCUUCGGAUCGUAAAACUCUGUUAUUAGGGAAGAACAAAUGUGUAAGUAACUAUGCACGUCUUGACGGUACCUAAUCAGAAAGCCACGGCUAACUACGUGCCAGCAGCCGCGGUAAUACGUAGGUGGCAAGCGUUAUCCGGAAUUAUUGGGCGUAAAGCGCGCGUAGGCGGUUUUUUAAGUCUGAUGUGAAAGCCCACGGCUCAACCGUGGAGGGUCAUUGGAAACUGGAAAACUUGAGUGCAGAAGAGGAAAGUGGAAUUCCAUGUGUAGCGGUGAAAUGCGCAGAGAUAUGGAGGAACACCAGUGGCGAAGGCGACUUUCUGGUCUGUAACUGACGCUGAUGUGCGAAAGCGUGGGGAUCAAACAGGAUUAGAUACCCUGGUAGUCCACGCCGUAAACGAUGAGUGCUAAGUGUUAGGGGGUUUCCGCCCCUUAGUGCUGCAGCUAACGCAUUAAGCACUCCGCCUGGGGAGUAC